UAUGGCGGGCGCGGGGCAGACGCCGACGAGGGUGGGCGGAGAGAGGAGGGAGGAAGCCAGGUCCUGCUUCCAGAGGAGUGGUAGUUGGAAAUUUGCUUCCGGAAGCGCAGACGUUUAGCUUCCGGCAACUGCAGGUUUAGAGGUUUGUGUUGCAAUUUCAUUUUGUACUUUUGAGAUUGGACUAAAGCUAAUAACUUCUGUUGCUGAAAUAAAUUCAGUGAAAU
This 224-nucleotide non-coding RNA is filed under the name Pan troglodytes (chimpanzee). The record is from RNAcentral. Lineage: Eukaryota; Metazoa; Chordata; Mammalia; Primates; Hominidae. RNAcentral also lists the same sequence under 1 other name.